RNAcentral lists this unclassified non-coding RNA (597 nucleotides) under Aspergillus fumigatus. RNAcentral's name for it is "sequence contains 18S rRNA gene, ITS1, 5.8S rRNA gene, ITS2, 28S rRNA gene". The stretch from base 227 to 380 matches the Rfam family "5.8S ribosomal RNA". The record is from RNAcentral. Lineage: Eukaryota; Fungi; Ascomycota; Eurotiomycetes; Eurotiales; Aspergillaceae.
GUAACAAGGUUUCCGUAGGUGAACCUGCGGAAGGAUCAUUACCGAGUGAGGGCCCUCUGGGUCCAACCUCCCACCCGUGUCUAUCGUACCUUGUUGCUUCGGCGGGCCCGCCGUUUCGACGGCCGCCGGGGAGGCCUUGCGCCCCCGGGCCCGCGCCCGCCGAAGACCCCAACAUGAACGCUGUUCUGAAAGUAUGCAGUCUGAGUUGAUUAUCGUAAUCAGUUAAAACUUUCAACAACGGAUCUCUUGGUUCCGGCAUCGAUGAAGAACGCAGCGAAAUGCGAUAAGUAAUGUGAAUUGCAGAAUUCAGUGAAUCAUCGAGUCUUUGAACGCACAUUGCGCCCCCUGGUAUUCCGGGGGGCAUGCCUGUCCGAGCGUCAUUGCUGCCCUCAAGCACGGCUUGUGUGUUGGGCCCCCGUCCCCCUCUCCCGGGGGACGGGCCCGAAAGGCAGCGGCGGCACCGCGUCCGGUCCUCGAGCGUAUGGGGCUUUGUCACCUGCUCUGUAGGCCCGGCCGGCGCCAGCCGACACCCAACUUUAUUUUUCUAAGGUUGACCUCGGAUCAGGUAGGGAUACCCGCUGAACUUAAGCAUAUCAA